RNAcentral lists this ribosomal RNA (405 nucleotides) under uncultured bacterium. RNAcentral's name for it is "partial 16S ribosomal RNA". It matches the Rfam family "Bacterial small subunit ribosomal RNA", at positions 28 to 526 of the family's 1533-position model. The record is from RNAcentral.
GAUGAACGCUGGCGGCGUGCCUAAUACAUGCAAGUCGAGCGAAGCGGGGACGGGUGAGUAACACGUGGGUAACCUCCUAUCAGACUGGGAUAACUUCGGGAAACCGGAGCUAAACCGGAUACUUAAAGCUGGAUCCCCUCGGCAUUAGCUAGUUGGUAAGUUAACGCCGUACAAAGGCAACGAGCCAUAGCAGACCUGAGAGGGUGAUCGGCGACACUGGAACUGAGACACGGUCCAGCCUCCUACGGGAGGAAGCAGUGGGGAAUCUUCCGCAAUGGGCGAAAGCCUGCCGGGGAAACGCCGCGUGAGUGAUGAAGGUCUUCGGAUCGUAAACCUCUGUUAUUGGGGAAGCGGUACCUAAUCAGAAAGGCACGGCUAACUACGUGCCAGCAGCCGCGGUAAUAC